UAUUUUUUGUCUGCCAACCACUUAAAAACACACACAACAUAUAUAUAUAUAUACAUGUUCAGAAUAAAAUCUUUUCCUUCUGCUUCGAAGUCUCAAUAACGCCAUCAUGCUUUCAACAUCAGCCUGGCGCAGCAUUUCGCGUAGUCCUUUACGAUGGUAUAUGCUAUCAUCCAAAGCUGGUUACGCGGGGAUACCAGCUCCUAUAACGAACCCUGACAUCGCUCAGUCUAAGAUUUUUAUAAACAACGAAUUUGUGAAUUCCGCCAGUGGCAAAACAUUUCAAACUUUGAACCCAUCCAAUGGAGAUGUCAUUUGUGAAGUUGCUGAAGGAGAUAAGGCAGAUAUUGACAAAGCAGUGGCUGCUGCCAAAGAUGCUUUCAGACUGGGAUCACCAUGGAGAAGAAUGGAUGCCUCAGACCGUGGCAAUUUAAUGUACAAACUGGCAGAUUUAAUUGAAAGAGACAAGAAUUACAUUGCGUCUUUAGAAACUCUUGAUAAUGGUAAAACCUACACCCAGUCUUACCUUGUUGAUGUUGCUGCUGUUGUUAAUACUUACAGAUAUUAUGCUGGCUGGGCUGACAAAAACCAUGGAAAAACUAUUCCUAUCCGUGGAGACCACUUCACCUACACAAGACAUGAACCUGUUGGAGUCUGUGGACAAAUUAUUCCUUGGAACUUCCCUUUGUUGAUGCAAGCAUGGAAGCUUGGACCUGCCCUGGCUCUAGGAAACACAGUUGUGAUGAAAACAGCUGAGCAGACACCCCUCAGUGCUCUUUAUAUUGCACAGCUUGCUGUAGAGGCUGGUUAUCCUCCUGGUGUUCUGAAUAUUGUCCCUGGCUAUGGGCCAACAGCUGGAGCUGCUCUUGCUAAACACAUGGAUGUUGAUAAAAUUGCUUUUACUGGUUCUACUGAAAUUGGGAAAAUUGUUUCAGUCAUGGCCACAGAGAGUAAUUUAAAAAGAGUAACUUUGGAACUUGGUGGUAAAAGUCCAAAUAUAGUAUUUGCUGAUGCCAAUAUGGAUCUUGCUGUUGAGACUUGCCACCUCGGUCUGUUCUUCAACCAAGGUCAGUGUUGCUGUGCCGGUUCCAGAAUAUUUGUAGAGGAAAAGGUCUACGAUGAAUUUGUUGAACGCAGUGUUGAGCGAGCUAGACGGAAAGUAGUUGGAGAUCCUUUUGAUCGUUCUUCUGAACAAGGUCCACAGGUUGACCAGGAACAACUGACAAAGAUCCUUUCUCUGAUUGAAAGUGGUAAACAAGAAGGAGCAAAACUAUGUACAGGUGGUGCCAGACAUGGUGAUAAAGGGUAUUUCUUGCAGCCAACUGUAUUUGCUGAUGUACAAGAUAACAUGAGGAUUGCCCAAGAAGAAAUCUUUGGUCCAGUAAUGCAGAUAAUGAAAUUCCGUGAUAUGAACGAGUUAAUUGAGAGGGCUCACAACACCAUAUAUGGCUUGGCUGCUGCUGUUAUGACAACAGAUCUUGACAAAGCACUUCACAUAUCAAACUCACUCAGAGCAGGAACUGUUUGGGUCAACUGCUUUGAUGUUUUGGAUACUGCUGCACCUUUUGGUGGCUACAAGAUGUCAGGAAAUGGACGAGAACUUGGAGAAUAUGGACUUGAAAAUUACACUGAAGUGAAAACUGUUACCAUUAAAGUGCCUCCGAAGAAUUCUUAAAUUGAAGUUUUGCAGACUCAAAAAUACAAGCAACUUCUACGUAUUCAUAAAUUUUCUUUCUCUCUCUCUCACACAUAUAUAAAGUGUGUGUGUGUGUAUAUGUUCAAAAAUGCAAUAAAAACCUUCUCAAAAGGAACAAAUUUUAGUAGGAAUACUUGCACACAGAUAUAAUGAACUGAAAAAUGGGUGUUUAAUGUGUAUUGAUAGUGUGUGGAAUAUUCAAUUGUCUGCAGAAGAUAAAUGAAUAUAUAUGGUCGCACACAUAUAUUUUUUUUAUUAUAUUUUUCUCCUUAAGAAAUCCUACAGAAUAUCUCUGUAGAAUAAUCAUGUAUUACAAGAAAUAAAGAGCUUAUACUUUUUA
RNAcentral lists this unclassified non-coding RNA (2033 nucleotides) under Octopus sinensis (East Asian common octopus). RNAcentral describes it as "aldehyde dehydrogenase, mitochondrial, transcript variant X1". The record is from RNAcentral. Lineage: Eukaryota; Metazoa; Mollusca; Cephalopoda; Octopoda; Octopodidae.